Molecule: ribosomal RNA, 2472 nt
Filed under: Triticum aestivum (bread wheat)
Lineage: Eukaryota; Viridiplantae; Streptophyta; Magnoliopsida; Poales; Poaceae
Description: partial small subunit ribosomal RNA
Source: RNAcentral
AUGACCAUCGAGAAGAUGGGUAGAAAGAAGAAUCCAAUUGUCUUUCUGGAUGUAUCGAUAGGUGAUGGGCCUGACGAAAGAAUGAUAUUUGAGCUGUUUGCUAAUGUUGCUCCCCUUACAGCAGAGAACUUCAGAGCAUUAUGCACAGGUGAGAUGGGAAUUGGACAAUCAACUAAGAAGCCAUUAUAUUACAAGGGAUCAACAUUCCACCGUGUCAUCAAGGGGUUCAUGGCACAAGGUGGCGACUUCUCAAAUGGAGACGGAAAUGGUGGAGAAAGUAUAUACGGCGAACAAUUUGAAGAUGAAAAUUUUGUGCUACGCCAUGAUGACCGGGGUCUCUUGUCAAUGGCAAAUGCUGGACGUAAUACCAAUGGCUCCCAGUUCUUCAUUACGUUCAAGCCUAAUUCUCAUCUUGACAGGAAGAACACUGUUUUUGGCAAGCUUAUUCUUGGAAAUGAUGUGCUGAAGAGGAUUGAGCAUGUUGAUGUGGAUGGUUCUACUAAUAAGCCUAUCGUUCCAGUAAGAAUAGUGGAUUGUGGGGAGCUUGUUGAUGGUAAAGGCCGGGGAUCUUUCUCAACUGAAAAUGAUAAAAAGAAAGUUAAGUCAAAGUUGUCCAUUGAUUCAUCUGAAGACGAAGGUAAUGAAGAAAAACACAAGGGCCGUCGCAAGAAAUCUUUGAAGAGGAGAAAGAAGAAGAGAAGAUACUCUUCUUCAGAAUCAGAAACCUCAUCUGAGUCUGAGUCGUCAGAUUCUGAGAGUGAAUCAGAUUACUCCAGCGAGUCGUCUGACAUCAGCAGCUCAAGUGAUGACAAGCGGAGACGAAGGAAGAGACACUCCAAGAAGGAUAAACGCAAGCAUGGGAAAAGAAGGCGAGAUCGCAGGCGCGAGAAAAGACGUAGAAAGCGUGACAGGAAAUCAAAGCAGAAGUCAAAAAGGAUGGUAGAGAGUGACAGUGAAACUGGAAAUGCGAGUGAUGGCAGCUCUGAGGAUGCCAGAAGAAAGCGGCAACGCCAUGGAAGGAAAUCUAAGGCCACAUCUCAAAUUUCUGCUGAAGAUCACACAGCAGUAGCUGCUCUGAAGGAUGCCACUUCAACUCAGGAAAAGAUUGGAACACCAAGGAGUCUGGCACAAGAAGACAAAUCUCCACUGGAGAAUGGCGAGAUGCGCACAAAUGGUGUUACUGACUCCAAAUCUGAAAGGAAGGCCGGUAUCAUGCCUGUUCUAACUGGCAACCGAAGCAAAUCUAGGAGCCAGAGCACGAGUGCUAAUCACUCCAUGAGCAAGAGCAUGAGUGUAAGUCCCAGAAGCCCAAUCAAAAGGUCAAACGUCAGCCUGGAGAGAUUGGUAAGCCCGAGUCCUGUUCAUCAGCGUAGUAGAAGUCCUGUCCAUGCUUCCAAACAAAAAGAAAGCAGGAGCCCACCCGGACAGAGGAAUAUGAGCAUGAGUCCUCAUCGAAGAAGCCCCAGCAAGAGCCCACCUGGAAGGGCAAGCAGACGUCCUGUUGUCCGCAGGAACAGGAGUCCUGUUGAAGUUCGGACAAGAAGCAUUAGCAGGAGCUCAGCUAGGUCCUUGCAGCGAAGAAGUCCAAGUAGGAGCCCGGAAAGAACCCAUGUGCGAAAAAGUGUCAGUCCAAGCCCCACACCUAUGGAGAAGGGAAAAAGCAUUAGCCGAACUUCUGCAAGAUCUCCACUCCACAAGGGUUUUAGCCGGAGCCCUGAUAUGCCUCCCAGAAAGACUACAAGCAGAAGCCCUCAAAGGAAUGCUCAUAGAAACUUUAGCAGGAGCCCUGUGGGAUCUUCUAGAAGAAGCUUGACCCCUGUACGAGGUGGUCGAUCUCGCAGGAACGCCAGCAGAAGUCCUAGCCCACCUCGCAGGGCAGUAUCACCACCCAAUCACGGUAGGAGCCCAUCUAGGAGUGUCUCUCCCGAUGGAUCAAAACGCAUAAGAAGAGGGAGGGGCUUUACUCAACGUUACUCAUUUGCCAGACAGUAUCGUUCACCUUCUGUUGAUCGUUCUCACCGCUAUGGUGGAAGAGGUGAUCGUGACAGGUAUAUCAGUCACAGGGGCACUCGUUAUCGAUCACCUCCAAGACGAUACAGAAGCCCACCAAGAAGAGCAUCACCAAGGUCUAGCAGGUACAGAAGGAGGAGCCGAAGCGUGUCACGCAGCCCACCAGCUUAUCGAGACCGUGCAAGGGGAGGUGGCUACAGCAGGAGUCCAGUACGUAGUCGUUCGCCUCCUGCUGGGAAACCAAGUUCCCGAGGUGAUCGUGCACGGUCGCUCUCCAGGAGCAGGAGCCUGUCUGGGUCAAGAUCAAGGUCCCCACCACCUGUGCAGGAUUGCUCCCCCCUUGCCUCCCCAUCUCCAAAACAUGCAAGUAACGACAGGUCCCGGUCUAUGUCGGUGAGUCCUGAAGGGAAGAAGGGUUUGGUUUCCUAUGGAGAUGGCUCCCCUGAUUCUGCUGGGAAGUAG